Molecule: non-coding RNA, 49 nt
Filed under: Trichobilharzia regenti
Lineage: Eukaryota; Metazoa; Platyhelminthes; Trematoda; Strigeidida; Schistosomatidae
Source: RNAcentral
GUACUGAUGAAGAGUCCAAAACCAGUGGGAUGAAACAACUGUCCAGUAC